GAGGAAGGUGGGGAUGACGUCAAGUCCUCAUGGCCCUUACCGGGUAGGGCUACACACGUGCUACAAUGGCAGUGACAAUGGGAUAAUCCCAAAAAGCUGUCUCAGUUCGGAUUGUCGUCUGCAACUCGACGGCAUGAAGGUGGAAUCGCUAGUUAAUCGUGGAUCAGCAUGCCACGGUGAAUACGUUCCCGGGCCUU
RNAcentral lists this ribosomal RNA (197 nucleotides) under uncultured Hyphomonas sp. RNAcentral describes it as "partial 16S ribosomal RNA". It matches the Rfam family "Bacterial small subunit ribosomal RNA", at positions 1166 to 1382 of the family's 1533-position model. The record is from RNAcentral. Lineage: Bacteria; Pseudomonadati; Pseudomonadota; Alphaproteobacteria; Hyphomonadales; Hyphomonadaceae.